CUACUUUCUAUGAUGUAAUCUGAGAAGUUGAGCUCCGAGAGAGGGUCCGAUUGGCCAAAUCGAUAAUUCCCUCCCAGGGACUCCACCCUUCCUCCUCCCUCCUCCCUUACCCAAGGGCUAUAAAAGAGCUGAGCCAGAGACCUGGAUGCUUUCUACACCUGGAUCUGCUGGCGAAGCUUUGAAGAUGAGCGUACUUGAGACAAGGCGACCUGGGAGAGUGCCUGCUGGGAGUCCUUAG
Molecule: long non-coding RNA, 238 nt
Filed under: Phascolarctos cinereus (koala)
Lineage: Eukaryota; Metazoa; Chordata; Mammalia; Diprotodontia; Phascolarctidae
Description: lncRNA (ENSPCIG00000036343.1)
Source: RNAcentral